This 290-nucleotide unclassified non-coding RNA is filed under the name Glomeraceae sp. Its description in RNAcentral is "partial contains 5.8S ribosomal RNA and internal transcribed spacer 2". The stretch from base 1 to 65 matches the Rfam family "5.8S ribosomal RNA", at positions 84 to 154 of the family's 154-position model. Lineage: Eukaryota; Fungi; Glomeromycota; Glomeromycetes; Glomerales; Glomeraceae. The record is from RNAcentral.
GUGAAUCAUCAAAUUUUUGAACGCAAAUUGCACUCUCCUCGGAGAGUAUGCCUGUUUGAGGGUCAGACUAUAAAAAAUCGAGAUAGUUGUUGUUUCGCGGUGACGUUCGUCGGAAAUGGGGGUAUCUUAAAUCCUUUUGGUUUUAAGAGAGUUAAAAGUUUCUUUUUGGUUUUAUGAAGGUUUCUAAGAUUUAUUUCUUUAUACGUUUAAGGGUAUCGAUUUUUAUUAGAAGUGACCAUCAUAUCGGAUAGAGUACAUAAUCUUUCAUUAAUCGCACUUAGAUAGGUAAG